RNAcentral lists this small nuclear RNA (18 nucleotides) under Arabidopsis thaliana (thale cress). Its description in RNAcentral is "snRNA_10797". Lineage: Eukaryota; Viridiplantae; Streptophyta; Magnoliopsida; Brassicales; Brassicaceae. The record is from RNAcentral.
GACCUUGUAAGACCCCAU